CCUACGGGAGGCAGCAGUAGGGAAUCUUCCACAAUGGGCGAAAGCCUGAUGGAGCAACGCCGCGUGGGUGAACAAGGUCUUCGGAUCGUAAAACCCUGUUGUUAGAGAAGAAAGUGCGUGAGAGUAACUGUUCACGUUUCGACGGUAUCUAACCAGAAAGCCACGGCUAACUACGUGCCAGCCGCCGCGGUAAUACGUAGGUGGCAGGCGUUAUCCGGAUUUAUUGGGCGUAAAGGGAACGCAGGCGGUCUUGUAAGUUUGGUGUGAAAGCCGUGGGCUUAACCGGAGUAGUGCAUUGGAAACUGGGAGACUGGAGUGCAGAAGAGGAGAGUGGAACUCCAUGUGUAGCGGUGAAAUGCGUAGAUAUAUGGAAGAACACCAGUGGCGAAAGCGGCUCUCUGGUCUGUAACUGACGCUGAGGUUCGAAAGCGUGGGUAGCAAACAGGAUUAGAUACCCUAGUAGUC
RNAcentral lists this ribosomal RNA (465 nucleotides) under uncultured bacterium. Its description in RNAcentral is "partial 16S ribosomal RNA". It matches the Rfam family "Bacterial small subunit ribosomal RNA", at positions 338 to 795 of the family's 1533-position model. The record is from RNAcentral.